CAGUAGCCGCGGUAAUACGUAGGGUGCAAGCGUUAAUCGGAAUUACUGGGCGUAAAGCGUGCGCAGGCGGUUAUAUAAGACAGAUGUGAAAUCCCCGGGCUCAACCUGGGAACUGCAUUUGUGACUGUAUAGCUAGAGUACGGCAGAGGGGGAUGGAAUUCCGCGUGUAGCAGUGAAAUGCGUAGAUAUGCGGAGGAACACCGAUGGCGAAGGCAAUCCCCUGGGACUGUACUGACGCUCAUGCACGAAAGCGUGGGGAGCAAACAGGAUUAGAUACCCCAGUAGUCCCUGUCUCUUAUAC
Molecule: ribosomal RNA, 301 nt
Filed under: uncultured bacterium
Lineage: Bacteria
Description: partial 16S ribosomal RNA
Rfam family: Bacterial small subunit ribosomal RNA
Source: RNAcentral